CAGUCGCCGCGGUAAUGCGUAGGUGGCAAGCGUUGUCCGGAAUUAUUGGGCGUAAAGGGCUCGCAGGCGGUUUCUUAAGUCUGAUGUGAAAGCCCCCGGCUCAACCGGGGAGGGUCAUUGGAAACUGGGAAACUUGAGUGCAGAAGAGGAGAGUGGAAUUCCACGUGUAGCGGUGAAAUGCGUAGAGAUGUGGAGGAACACCAGUGGCGAAGGCGACUCUCUGGUCUGUAACUGACGCUGAGGAGCGAAAGCGUGGGGAGCGAACAGGAUUAGAUACCCGCGUAGUCCCUGUCUCUUAUAU
RNAcentral lists this ribosomal RNA (301 nucleotides) under uncultured bacterium. Its description in RNAcentral is "partial 16S ribosomal RNA". It matches the Rfam family "Bacterial small subunit ribosomal RNA", at positions 509 to 809 of the family's 1533-position model. The record is from RNAcentral.